Molecule: ribosomal RNA, 206 nt
Filed under: uncultured bacterium
Lineage: Bacteria
Description: partial 16S ribosomal RNA
Rfam family: Bacterial small subunit ribosomal RNA
Source: RNAcentral
CGCGUAGGUGGUUUGGUCAGUCAGAUGUGAAAGCCCCGGGCUCAACCUGGGAAUUGCACCUGAUACUGCCAAGCUAGAGUACGGUAGAGGGUAGUGGAAUUUCCGGUGUAGCGUGAAAUGCGUAGAGAUCGGAAGGAACACCAGUGGCGAAGGCGACUACCUGGACCGAUACUGACACUGAGGUGCGAAAGCGUGGGUAGCAAACA